This 253-nucleotide ribosomal RNA is filed under the name uncultured bacterium. RNAcentral's name for it is "partial 16S ribosomal RNA". It matches the Rfam family "Bacterial small subunit ribosomal RNA", at positions 524 to 776 of the family's 1533-position model. The record is from RNAcentral.
UACGUAGGUGGCAAGCGUUGUCCGGAUUUACUGGGCGUAAAGAGCGCGCAGGCGGUCGUGCAAGUCGCGUGUGAAAGCCCCCGGCUCAACUGGGGAGGGUCACGCGAUACUGCUCGACUCGAAGGCAGGAGAGGGAAGUGGAAUUCCCGGUGUAGUGGUGAAAUGCGUAGAGAUCCGGAGGAACACCAGUGGCGAAGGCGGCCUGCUGGCUGACAACUGACGCUGAGGCGCGAAAGCAUGGGGAGCGAACGGG